This 2107-nucleotide long non-coding RNA is filed under the name Strigops habroptila (Kakapo). Its description in RNAcentral is "lncRNA (ENSSHBG00005020086.1)". The record is from RNAcentral. Lineage: Eukaryota; Metazoa; Chordata; Aves; Psittaciformes; Psittacidae.
CUGCUUAUAGAAAUACAUACAUUGUGACCUCUCAAGUUUUUCAUCUAAGAACCAGUUUUGUAAUCACAUUUUUCAGGCUUAACUUCUAGCAUGUGAGAACUAGCGGUCAGUGGAACUGCAUGCACACAUCAAGAACGUUUCAAAGUGUUUGCAGUUUGGGGCCUAUGAUAUUUGCAAGUGAAAUGCUUUGUAUGGUUUGAGAUUUUUACAAAAUCAAUGGUGUUCAAAUGUAGCACCUUUUAAACAUUUGUCUUCAUUCCAACUUAAUACAAUAACACAUCUGCAUUAAAUAUAUCCCUUUCAUUUUAUAAAUAAACAUUGCCUGGCAGUAAAAGUAUUGGUGUAACAUUUUCAAAUAAGGAAGUCAUGCUUCUUAUCAUGUUGUAUGUGACUUAAAUGACUGUUUCAUAUUAAAACUAAUCUUUCCUUAUGUACUGCUUAAAUAUACCUGUUUUAGGAUAUCAGUUCAGUACUUUUUAUACAAUCUUGAAUGUGUUCCACAUUGGUGACAUGUAUUUUUGCAACAACUUUUUUGUUUCAAUUUUAAAUUAGAGCAUGUCUGAAGUAAUACAUGCAUUAGUGCUGUGGUGUGUGGCAAAGUUAAUGUAUGUAAUUCAAAUUGGAAAAAAGUUUCCAGACUUUGUCCAACAUUAACCCUGUGGCCAGGGAUUAAAUUACUAUGUAAUACAAAUUAUUUCAUAUCAUGAUGUGUUUUAAGCUACUCUAUGAAGUAUGUGAAACAUUAUUGUUUAUGGAUUGGUAGCUGGUGUGGUAUCUUGCAUAGAAUGAGGUAUGAUAGAUCGUAGCAAUUCAUGAUAAUUAAACUGACUACCUUUCAGAACACGCAGCACUUAUGUGCAUUGUCAUCUUGUUGCCACAACUGUUAGUAUGAGUUUCAUAUUAUUAUCCUAUGACAAAUGGGUGAACAUCUGGUUGUACGCUCAUGGGUGUGAAAAUUCUGUUCUAACACUCUUUACUUGGUUUACAGAACAUGCCGUUUUUUUCUCUAUUGGAUGUGAUUAGAUGUAUGCAGGAGGAUGUAGAACUGGAUGUAUUUUAAAGUUAUUCUGCAAUUACUAAGUUUUGUCUGAAGCUUUCUAUAUUAGAAUAGACUCUUCCUUAAAAUUGGAAAAUUAAGUGUACUUAGCAGAACUCUUAAGGCAAUAUAACUAUCCUACGCUACAUCUUGAGUUAUGCACAUUCACUUCUUUGUAUGGAACUCCUCUGAUUUCUUGUGGGCUUAAGUUUUAUAUGGAAAUAAAGGAUCCCAUUAGUGCCCUAGUGUUGUCUGUCAUCAGUUCUGAGAUGAUGAAUUCUAAAUGGUGUUCAGCCCCUUAGAGGUGCUGCCUAUAGCUUCAAGUAUUCAAUAUCGCUCUUAGCUUCCGGGUUCAGAAAUGGCUUAUCCCAGCAUCACAGGAAAUACCUAUUUCUGUAUUAUUUGCCAUACAUGAUUAAUUUUCCUUCUCAUGUUCAAACAAACUUUCUGAACCCCACCUUUUUACUCAAAGGUUUGUGCACUGUAAUUCAGGAAUUGCUGUAUUUGAGACAGUUUGGGAUUGGAGUCAUGAGAGAUGUUGUGUCUGUUGCUAGGCACUCAUCUUCUGAACUUCCAUAUAGCUUAAGGAGGGCAAGCUUUUCAUAUAUUCUUCUAUUUUGUUGUUCCUUUCUUGGUAGUUUGUUUUUGGUUUUUUCUGAAAUGUGAAAUAAUAUGGAGUUGUUGAGGGAUUUUUACUUAAAAGACAGCUUCUCCUCCAAGCUUUUGUAUAUGGCCUUCAGAGCAGAUACUGUGUUCUUUAGGGCUUUUUGACUUGGAAUUGUUUGUCCACAUUCUCCUUUCAGUGUUAAAGAUGAGUUGAAAAAGGCAAGUUACCAAUCUACUGCCAUUCAAACAAUGCAAAGUAUAAGCUGAUUAAGACUGUUGACAUUUAAUUAUUUUUUUUUUUUUGCUAAUAAUGAUGUGAUACCUUUUAGAAGAACAUGUAUCAGAAUCUGAUUCAAGCGUUCUUGGAUAAUGUAUAUGGUAGAUUUUGUCCAACACUGUAUGUAACUUUGUUGCUUUCUGUUGUCUGUUUUCAGUUUCUUUUAAAAUAAAGGUAAUUUUUGUGGG